RNAcentral lists this ribosomal RNA (464 nucleotides) under uncultured bacterium. RNAcentral describes it as "bacterial SSU rRNA". It matches the Rfam family "Bacterial small subunit ribosomal RNA", at positions 331 to 793 of the family's 1533-position model. The record is from RNAcentral.
CCAGACUCCUACGGGAGGCAGCAGUGAGGAAUAGUGGUCAAUGGGAGGGAGCCUGAACAAGACAAGUCGCGUGAGGGAUGACGGCCCUAUGGGUUGUAAAAAUCUUUUGCCGGUGAGAAAAGUGCCGCAGGUGUGCGGCUUGGAGAGUACCCGGAGAAAAAGCAUCGGCUAACUCCGUGCCAGCAGCCGCGGUAAUACGGAGGAUGCGAGCGUUAUCCGGAUUUAUUGGGUUUAAAGGGUGCGCAGGCGGAAUGUCAAGUCAGCGGUAAAAUUGCGGGGCUCAACCUCGUCGAGCCGUUGAAACUGGGUGCCUUGAGUGGGCGAGAAGUACGCGGAAUGCGUGGUGUAGCGGUGAAAUGCAUAGAUAUCACGCAGAACUCCGAUUGCGAAGGCAGCGUACCGGCGCCCAACUGACGCUGAAGCACGAAGGCGUGGGUAUCGAACAGGAUUAGAUACCCUCGUAC